Molecule: long non-coding RNA, 217 nt
Organism: Dendrobium catenatum
Lineage: Eukaryota; Viridiplantae; Streptophyta; Magnoliopsida; Asparagales; Orchidaceae
Exons: 3
Source: RefSeq, a predicted model, not a curated record
AAUUGCUUUGAAUUCUGUCCACGGACGACACACGAAAGUAUCUGCUGGAGAUCAAAUAUCUAUUAUCACAUUUUUUCCACCGGCUAGUUUUUCUCUGGCAUUGCUUACUCUUGAGCUGGACUAUGUUAAAGCAAAAGCCAAUAGAAAUGAAGAGUUAGAUGCCGUCGUUCUUGCACAACAUCUUCAAAAGAAGUUUAGUAAUUAGGUUAGGAAAUCC